RNAcentral lists this ribosomal RNA (460 nucleotides) under uncultured bacterium. RNAcentral's name for it is "SSU rRNA". It matches the Rfam family "Bacterial small subunit ribosomal RNA", at positions 26 to 518 of the family's 1533-position model. The record is from RNAcentral.
AGAAUCAACGCUGGCGGCGUGCCUAACACAUGCAAGUCGCACGAGAAAGUGGAGCAAUCCAUGAGUAAAGUGGCGCACGGGUGAGUAACACGUGAAUAAUCUACCUCCGAGUGGGGAAUAACUGAGAGAAAUCUUAGCUAAUACCGCAUAACACUUACGAGUCAAAGCAGCAAUGCGCUUGGAGAGGAGUUCGCGGCCGAUUAGUUAGUUGGCGGGGUAAUGGCCCACCAAGACGAUGAUCGGUAUCCGGCCUGAGAGGGCGCACGGACACACUGGAACUGAAACACGGUCCAGACUCCUACGGGAGGCAGCAGUGGGGAAUUUUGCGCAAUGGGGGAAACCCUGACGCAGCAACGCCGCGUGGAGGAUGAAAUCCCUUGGGAUGUAAACUCCUUUCGAUUGGGAAGAUAAUGACGGUACCAAUAGAAGAAGCCCCGGCUAACUUCGCGCCAGCAGCCGC